UUCUUCAUUAAACAUUUUGCUAGGAGACAAGGGCCAAGGUAAUUAGACAGCACGGGUAACAUCAUUUUCUCUGCCGUUUACUGGCUUGAGACGAGUCAUAACAAAACUCUCCCCCUGCCCAGUUUCCUUUAGGGUCUUCCAUCCUGUUUCGCUUUUUAUUUGUGUCAGGGCUAAUUUCCCCUCAGCUGAGGUUCCCAGCUACUGCAUGCUACUAUGCCGCACAGAUGGAUAACAAGUUAUUAGCUUAAUUACGUUUUCAGUUUAGUGUCUAUGUAACUGAUGUGAAAUGGCUAGCUAGUUAGCGGUGAUGCGCGCUAAUAGCGUUUCAAUCGGUGACGUCACUCGCUUUGAGACCUUGAAGUAGUGGUUCCCCUUGACCACUACGGCUUUUGUGGAGAGAUGGGUAACGAUGCUUCGUGGGUGACUGUUGUUGAUGUGUGCAGAGGGUCCCUGGUUCACGCCCGGAUCGGGGCGAGGGGACGGACUAAAGUUAAAACUGUUACAUCUACAAGGAGUAAUACAUUAUUUAUAAAUGUGAAUAAAUACACUAUAUUUACAAAAGUAUGUGGACACCACUUCAAAUGGGUGGAUUCGACUAUUUCAGCCACACCCGUUGCUGACAGGUAUAUAAAAUCAAGCACACAACCAUGCAAUCUACAUAGACAAACAUUGGCAGUAGAAUGUUCUCACUGAAGAGAUCAGUGACUUCACGUGGCACCGUCAUAGGAUGACAACUUUCCAACAAGUCAGUUCGUCAAAUUUCUGCUCUGCUAGAGCUGCCCCGGUCAACUGUAAGUGCUGUUAUUGUGAAGUGGAAACAUAUAGGAGCAACAAUGGCUCAGCCGGGAAGUGGUAGGCCACACAAGCUCACAGAACAAAAAUUGUCUGUCCUCGUUCAACACCCACUACUGAGUUCCAAACUGCUUCUGGAAGCAACGUCAGCACAAUGACUGUUUGUUGGGAGCCUCAUGAAAUGGGCUUCCGUGGUCGAGCAGCCGCACUCAAGCCUAAGAUCCUCCAUGCGCAAUUCCAAGUGUCGGCUGGAGUGGUGUAAAGCUCGCCGCCAUUGGACUCUGGAGCAGUGGAAACGCGUUCUCUGGAGUGAUGAAUCACACUUUAUCUGGCAGUCCGACGGACGAAUCUGGGUUUGGCAGAUACCAGAAGAAUGCAACCUGCCCCGAAUGCAUAGUACCAACUGUCAACUUUGGUGGGGGAGGAAUAAUGGUCUGGGGCUGUUUUUAAUGGUUCGGACUAGGCCCCUAGAUGAAGAUAAAUCUUAACGCUACAGCAUACAUUCUGCUUCCAACUUUAUGGCAACAGUCUGGGGAAGGCCCUUUCCUGUUUCAGCAUGACAAUGCCCUUGUGCACAAAGUGAGGUCCAUACAGAAAUUGUUUGUCGAGAUCGGUGUGGACGAACUUGACUGACCUGCACAGAGCCCUGACCUCAGAUGAAGAUGGCGCCGACGGAUAUGGCAGCAUCUUGACUAGCUCUUUGGAAACUUUGCAGUAUUUAGUUUUUUUUAAUAUACUCUUUUUUUUUUACAUUAUUAGCUCAGGAAAUGUUUUGUGUCAUAAAAUACAGCCGGGAAGAACUAUUGCAUAUUAGAGUGGCGGUAACUCACCAGAACUGUCAGCAUUACGAUCAGGAAUACGACUUCCCUGGAGAAGAUCUUUGUUCACUCUCCCCAGAGCAAUAGAACUUAUUCCAGAGGCCAACCCAAAACAUUGCCGGCGGAGGAGAGGCACUUGAGGCGGCCUGCUGGUUCGGCUUAGGAAGUGCGCACACCACCCACCGCUUCCGAGUAUAUUAUUCGCUAAUGUUCAGUCUUUGGAUAACACAGUUGAUGAGUUUAGAGCAAGGAUUUCUUUCCAGAGAGACAUCGGGGCCUGUAACAUACUUUGUUUCACGGAAACAUGGCUCUCUCGGGAUGCUCUGUCGGAGUCGUUAAAGCCAGCAGGAUUCUCAGUACAUCGCACAGACAGGAAUGAAUAUCUCGCUUGGAAGCAGAAGGGUGGAGGGGUGUGUUUCAUAAUUAACGACUCAUGGUGUAAUUCUAGGAACAUACAGGAACUCAAGUAAAUUUGGUCACCCGACCUAGAAUACCUCACAAUUAAAUGCCGACCAUAUUAUCUCCCAAGAGAAUUCUCCAACGUCAUCGCCACGGCCGUUUACAUCCCACCUCAAGCCGAAACCUCGACGGCUCACAAAGAACUUCACUGGAAUUUAUGCAAACUGGAAACCACAUAUCCUGAGGCUGCAUUUAUUGUAGCUGGGGAUUUUUAACAAAGAAAAUCUGAGGACUAGGCUGCCGAAGCUCUAUCCACAUAUUGACUGUUCUACUCGCACUACUAAGACUCUCGACCAUUGCUAUUCAAACUUGUGGAAUGCUUACAAGGCCCUCCCCUCCCUCCUUUCGGCAAAUCUGACCACGACUCCAUCUUGCUCCUCCCGUCCUAUAGGCAAAAACUCAAACAGGAAGUGACCGUGCUUCGUACUAUUCAACACUGGUCUGACCAAUCAGAAUCCACGUUUCAGGAUUGUUUUGAUCACAUGGACUGGGAUAUGUUCCGGGUAGUUUGCGAAAAUAAUCGCAUGCACAGAUACGGUGACUGAGUUUAUAAGGAAGUGUAUAGGAGAUGUAGUACUAACUGUGACUAUUAAAACCUACCCUAACCAGAAACCGUGGAUAGAUGUAGCAUUCGUGCAAAACUGAAAGCGCGAACCACCGCAUUUAACCAUGGCAAGGUGACUGGCAUGGCAGAAUAUAAACAGUGUACUUAUUCACUCCGCAAGGCAAUCAAGCAAGCUAAACGUCAGUAUAAAGAUAACGGUCUACAAAAGGAAAACCAGCCACAUCGCCGAGACCGACGUCUUGCUUCCGGACAGGCUAAAUAAUUUUUUUGCGCGCUUUGAGGAUAACACAGUGCCACCGACGGCCCACUACCAAGGACUGUGGGCUCUCCUUCUCCAUGGCCGACGUGAGUAAAACGUUUAAACGCGUUAACCCUCGCAAGGCUGCCGGCCCAGACGGCAUCCCUAGCCGCGUCCUCAGAGCAUGCACAGACCAGCUGGCUGGUGUUUAUGCGUGCGUCACAGAGAUGCGUCACAGAGAUGUCCAUGAUGUCCAUGAUGAUGGCGUGCUGGAAGCAGAACAACUUCGCCGACACCCUCUGCUCCAAUGAAAUGCAGUCCUUCUAUAAGUGUGUUGAGAAAGCCCAGAUUGCAGUGAAAAACAAAUCAGAGCAACACACCAUCGUCCAGAGUGGACGCCUUCAACCCAAACAAGCCACUAUCCUGCUGAAAAGAUACCCCAACUUACACAUAGAAAUCUAGGACUACUCCCAGCCAUACUACUACGAUUUAUUAAUUGACAAAGGUUGAGGGCCAGAGAAUCUUAACCAUCCUCCCCACUGUCCUCUGUCAUCAUGCUUGGCCUUUGUGGCCAACUGAGGUCUCUGCUGGUUCUUACGGUAAAGAGGAAGUCUCUUAGAUCAUAGAAACAUCACCAACGUUCCACGAAUGCCAGACGUGAUAAUCAACAAAGUGAAUUAUGUGGAUUUAUUGUGCUGCAGAUGCACUUCUUGUGAUUGCCAUGUUAAAUUGAGUACGCUGUUAUAGGUCAUCAUAUAAAACAGUACCAUUAAAAUGGCUUCAGUCACAAAAGAAGGUUCCUACGAAUAUGUAACUUCACUCACUUGUCUAGUAUUUUGAAGAUAAUUUUCAUUACGCAUUCAGUUAUUGCUAUAUUAUUGCAUGGCUUUUUAAGAUGCCCUACUAAUUUACAUUUCUCAAGUACAGAUCAAGGAUGUUUGUGUUCAUAACUUGACAUGAUAUUGUGUGUGCCCUGGAUGAAAUAUAGUGUGACUGACUGUUAUCUCAGUGUCCUGAGUUGACUCCCAUAAAAAUGAUUUCCCUUUCAAAAUUAUCUAAAUAAAUCCAUACUGCACAGACAGGUGGUUGCUAACAAUAUUAAGAUAUUAGUGACCUCUGCAGUAUUUAAUUAUGGUUAUUUUGUUGCAUUUCCUCUGGAGUGCACCACUACCGGACGAUCACCUCAAUAGGAUACCUAUUUUGAGUUUCCAAUGGAUCACUCAAAUGUAAUUUGAAACACUCCUGAUAUAGUUGAACUGCCUAGCUGUUCUCUAUUAUUGGCCAAUUUGCCAGAUAGGAUUACAUGCCAGGAAGCAAAGCCCAUUGCAGGUCAUAGUCUUAUAGGUAUUGGAAAUUGUAUUAAGAUGACUGAGGUACCAAGACAAUAUCUCAGUGGCUGACUAAUGUCUACUGGAAUUUCAGCUCCACUUUGCAUUACCUUAUAAUUCAAGUCCUUUUUAUUUAAGGCAGUGGUUUUUAUUUUGCGCUAAUUAAGUUUGAAGUCUGUCAGCGUGGAUGCACUGUCAUCCAGGAAACUGCUCAAUCCUCUAUCAGAUUUGGGUUGGUCCUCAUUAUAAAAAGAGAAAAAUGCCAUCUCGCUCCACCCACACUGCCCACCAUUUUCUUGCCAUAUUUAUUUCCUGCUAAACGUGCAUACUGAAAUGGAAAUGCUUUCCUUUGUCAUCAGCACUCGUGCAGAUGAGUUUGAUCAUACCACCACAAAAUAGCAAUUCACUCUAGGGCUGAGUCCGACCUGAGUUAAGCUUGCAUAAAUGGAGCGCAAUUCCCUCAUGAACUUUUCUCUAUGUGUAUUCUGAGCUUGAUUUUAAGCAGGAGAAUAGCAUGCUAUUCAUUUGGGUGGAGAUCAAAUGAAUAAAGGUGUGGUGGAGGUGUCUAUAGAUACGCAGUAUUCUGACCUUGACUUAAUUCCCUAAUAAUUCCACCACCUUACACACAAGGAAACCAUGAAUAAGGUCUAGUGAACCUACCGGUUCCAAGUUGGAAAAGCAGCAUAUACUUAAUUUUUUUAGACUGAAAUAACACCAUUCUCCAUGCACUGUAAUUUACAACUUGAUAAGAGCUAUUGAUAAGAGCUAGGUAAAUUAGUAAUAUGUUUGGAUAAGGGAAUUGUAAAUAUAAAUAACUUGAUUUAGAUCUAUACCAAACAAAAAUAUAAAUGCAACAUGUAAAGUGUUGAUCCCAUGUUUCAUGAGCUGAAAUAAAAGAUCCCAGAAAUUUUCCACA
This is an RNA transcript of Salvelinus fontinalis (brook trout), 5116 nucleotides long. It is a transcript of the gene named coiled-coil-helix-coiled-coil-helix domain-containing protein 1-like, with no coding region annotated. The transcript is spliced from 2 exons. NCBI's taxonomy places the organism in Eukaryota, Metazoa, Chordata, Actinopteri, Salmoniformes, Salmonidae. The record is from RefSeq and is a predicted model, not a curated record.